Pistacia vera is the source of this 3025-nucleotide long non-coding RNA. RefSeq lists it as uncharacterized. Lineage: Eukaryota; Viridiplantae; Streptophyta; Magnoliopsida; Sapindales; Anacardiaceae. The record is from RefSeq and is a predicted model, not a curated record. The transcript has 12 exons.
UCCAUAUCUUGGAUGUACAAAUUGGAUGGUGAAUUUUGGGGAAUUGAAACUGGAGCCUCUUCAUCAUCUUCAUGCUCUGGUUUCUUUCCCAAAUUGAAACAACUCCAAUUUUUGUAUUUAGCCAAAUGGGAAGAGUGGACUUACGAUAAUACAAAGAAGGGAGAAGAAGAAGAACAUAUUAGAUUCAUGCCCUUGCUUGCUAAAGGCACUCCCAGACAGCCUUCUCCAGAGGACCACACUCAAGGAAUUGAAAAUCGAUUUUUCUCGUAUUCUAGAAGAUCGAUACUUUGAGGGAAUAGGAGAGGACUGGCCCAAGACAUUGAAAUUGGUUAUAAAUGGGACAAACGGUGGCAGUAACUAUCAACCCACAAGCCAAAGGUUAAAAGAAAUUUGGUAUUCACAAGCAUCCAAUGACUUUUCUGGGGCGAUGCAUGUCUAAAAUUUGAAACCAGUUUUAGAUUCAUUUCAAAGGCACAUAAAUUUACUUGUUCAAGUAUUGGCUUUAAUGCUUUGUGGCUUGCUUCAGAGAGUGGCUGGAUUCCGCCAUCUAUCGAAGAGAAUGAUAAAGGUCUUUGGGAAGUUUGAUAGUAUUAUCUUCAUCAGUUAUUCUUUUUUCUCAAAAUUGAAAUAUCUCCAAUGAUGAGAUUAGAAGGAUGGAAGAAGGAAAAGAAGAAUUACAAUCAGGACAUAUCUUCAUUCCGUACAACUAGAUGCUGACAAUACUGUCAGGGUGCCUUCUCCAUAGGACAACUCAGAAACCAUGCAGGUAUUACAUUGGACCAUGGUCUCCAAUUUAUGCAUACUUUUUAUCACUCCAGAUUUCAAUGCUAACAAUCUUGAUUAAUGUUACUGGGGUAGACUCAUUUCAGCAGCACAUAUAUUAAGUUGUUGAAGUGCUAUAAUGUUUUGUGGUCUACAACAGAUAGAAGAUCAAAAUGUGACAAGCCGAAGAAGAUAAAAAGAUUUGAAGUCAUUUUAUGCAAUUUAACAUAUUUUGAGGUCUGGUUUAGUUCUCUGUAAGCUUUCCAUUUUACCUAAUUUUUCUCUGGAUAAUGUACUUGCAGUCAUCUCAAAAUAACAACCUGGAUUUUCAGACCAGUCAAAAGCAGUUACAACAGGGAACUUGAAGCUUCAUAAUGUCCAUAAUUUAGUUUUGAUGCAGUGAACCAAGGUUUAUAUGUCAUUAAAUAUUUCUCGACGAAUGAAGAUCAUAAGACCAUGUAUGACAGGAGCUUGGCAUUUUGAGAGCUCUUAUCAUGCUGGGCAAGAUUGACAGAGGCAAUUCACCUUGAAAUAUACAACAGAACCUCUUGUAGUUUCAUGCACAACUGCAGAGGAAGAGAUGAUUAGGCUUCUUACAAAAGAAGUCCCAAAUACACGAACAUGGUUACGACAGUCCCAGCACUGAUAGCCAUUAGAACCUUAAUUAUCCAUCCUGAUCCUGAAAAAUGUGGAAAGUUUUCCCAUGUCGCAGCAACGGAAGAAGUAGCCAUGAAUGAUUCAGCCACUCACAUGACCUUGAGGAUGUGAAAAAUGCAAUGUUGUUUCUUACUGUAAAGAACUUAAAAGCCGUUGUUCUGCAAACUGUUGAAUUCCUUUUCAACCAACCCUCCUGGAAGGCUGCAUCAGGAAGGUUUAUGCCAGCAGUAAAAGUAACUGCGACAAUCAAACUUGCCACCAUUAUAAUUGAGCUCUGGGCAUUUUGAAGCGCUUUUUGGAUGGAAGCUCAAGUAAAUCCUCUGUUCACAUUAGUUCCAUGAUUGAUGUAGGCAAGAAACCAAAACAUUUGUUGACAUGCUUGUGUCAAGGCCAGGUGGGGCGCAUAUCCUGUUUUUGCUUCUGGAUCUGUGGUUUUUUUAUGGCACAACUUCUGCCUGCUGGCAAAGUUGGAAGUCUAAGGGCAGUUCACACUGUUGCCCAUAUCAAUCCUUUGGAGUUUUGAAGUAUCAGCUAUUGAGAAUGUAUUUCUGAGACCACUGGUGAUCGAAUUAACAAUUCUGUGCUUGUUUUACAAGCAGCUGUCUUUAAGACUUUCUUGAACUGGUUGCUUUCUGCAUCACUUCUAGCACCGUACUCCUUUAAGGCGGAGAACUUAACAAGAAUAAUCAUCAAGGAUUGGAACUCUGCCAUGCAUGGCUGCAAAGUGCAAUAGGGUGUAACCUUUCUCAUUGUAUUUCAGAGCAAGGUCUUGGUGAACCCUUAAAAACAAUCUAGUUAUCUUCAAGAGUCCUCUGCUACAGGCACAGUGCAAUGGAGAGAAUAUCCAGUCUUGUUGGUUUUUUUAGCAGCACCUCCAAUAUGCUCUGAACAACUUCUGCGUUAUAAGCCAUGUUUCUUCUAGACUUUAAGAAUGAGAUUUGAUUUUUACUUGUGUUCCCCAUUGAUGUGGCAACAUAUAGAGCAGUUAAAUCAUCCUCAUCCUUUUUAGAGUCCAUCAACAAGGAUUGAUUCAUCAUGAGCUUCACCACAUCAAAUGCCAUUUUUAUCCAGGCAAUGGAAAUUGCACCUCCAUUUUCAUAGUUAAGCUUUGUAGCCAUCCAUGGAUUAGUCUCCAAGAGCAGCAUUACCACAUUUGCUUUCCCUUGAUGACAAGCUUCGUGCAAUGGAGUCUCAAGCUUCUUGUUCACAGUUGCAACAAUUUGAAGCGCCUGAACCUUGAGGCAAGUUGAAAUUGGAAAGUUUAUCAAUCAAAAUAUCUGAGUUCAUCUUUCUCUCCUCAUAAUUUCGAGACAGGGUUACUUUUUGAAAACCAAGCAUCAAAUUUCAUCUACAGAGUCGUUAUCAUGCUGCACAAGAUAGACAGGAGCAAUGUGCCGUGGAAUAUAUAACAUAACCUCCGUCCUUAAGAUACUUGCACGUCAUAGGGGAGAAUGUGAUUAGGUUUACAGAUUUCGUUCUAAAUGAUGGUACUUACAAUUGGAGAACAGUGCCAGGAAGCAAACCAACAAUCAUAUACCAGUUAGUUAUGCUUGAUCGCACAAAUCCUUUGCUCUGUUAAGGACACUGGUUCUAAUGGCUUGUCAUC